This 467-nucleotide ribosomal RNA is filed under the name uncultured bacterium. RNAcentral describes it as "bacterial SSU rRNA". It matches the Rfam family "Bacterial small subunit ribosomal RNA", at positions 97 to 520 of the family's 1533-position model. The record is from RNAcentral.
GGCGCACGGGUGAGCGUAACACGUAGGAUAAUCUAGCCUGGAAGACCGGAAUAACCUUGGGAAACCUUGGCUAAUACCGGAUAAGACCACGGGGACUUCGGUCCUUGAGGGAAAAGGUGGCCUCUGUAUACAAGCUAUCACUUCCAGAUAGAGUCCGCGGCCCAUCAGCUAGUUGGCGGGGUAAUGGCCCACCAAGGCAACGACGGGUAGCUAGGUCUAGAGAGGACGAUCAGCCACACUGGAACUGAGACACGGUCCAGACUCCUACGGGAGGCAGCAGUGGGGAAUUUUGCACAAUGGGCGAAAGCCUAGAUAGCAGCAACGCCGCGUAGUAGUAGAUAGAAGGUCUAUCGGAUCGUAAAGCACUAUUCGACCGGGACGAACACCUACUAUGGCUAACAUACCAAGAGCCUAGACGGUAACCGGGAGAAGAAGCACCGGCUAACUCUAGUAGCCAGCCGCCGCGG